UUAGGGAAUAUUGCACAAUGGAGGAAACUCUGAUGCAGCGACGCCGCGUGAGUGAUGAAGGCCUUCGGGUCGUAAAGCUCUGUCGCAGGGGAAUAACACAAUGAAGGUACCCUGUAAGAAAGGAUCGGCUAACUUCGUGCCAGCAGCCGCGGUAAGACGAGGGAUCCUAGCGUUGUUCGGAAUCAUUGGGCGUAAAGCGGAUGUAGGUGGCUAUGUAAGUCAGAUGUGAAAGCCUGGGGCUCAACCCCAGAAGUGCAUUUGAUACUGCGUAGCUUGAGUGUCGGAGAGGUUACUAGAAUUGUUGGUGUAGUGGUGAAAUACGUAGAUAUCAACAGGAAUACCGGAGGCGAAGGCGGGUAACUGGCCGAACACUGACACUGAGAUCCGAAAGCGUGGGGAUCAAACAGGAUUAGAAACCCCAGUAGUCC
Molecule: ribosomal RNA, 428 nt
Filed under: uncultured bacterium
Lineage: Bacteria
Description: partial 16S ribosomal RNA
Rfam family: Bacterial small subunit ribosomal RNA
Source: RNAcentral